RNAcentral lists this ribosomal RNA (406 nucleotides) under uncultured bacterium. RNAcentral's name for it is "partial 16S ribosomal RNA". It matches the Rfam family "Bacterial small subunit ribosomal RNA", at positions 30 to 526 of the family's 1533-position model. The record is from RNAcentral.
AUUGAACGCUGGCGGCAGGCUUAACACAUGCAAGUCGAACGAGUGGCGGACGGGUGAGUAAUGCUUGGGCAUCUGGCUUAUGGAGGGGGAUAACGACGGGAAACUGUCGCUAAUACCGCGUACCAUAGGAUGAGCCCAAGUGGGAUUAGGUAGUUGGUGGGGUAAUGGUCUACCAAGCCGACGACCUCUAGCUGGUCUGAGAGGAUGACCAGCCACGCCGGGCCUAGGACACGGCCCUGACUCCUACGGGAGGCAGCAGUGGGGAAUAUUGCGCAAUGGGGGCAAGCCUGAUCCAGACAUGCCGCGGGUCUGAAGAAGGCCUUCGGGUGGUAAAGGACUUUUGUCAGGGAAGCGGUACCUGAAGAAUAAGCACCGGCUAACUACGUGCCAGCCGCCGCGGUAAUAC